This 426-nucleotide unclassified non-coding RNA is filed under the name Hevea brasiliensis (rubber tree). Lineage: Eukaryota; Viridiplantae; Streptophyta; Magnoliopsida; Malpighiales; Euphorbiaceae. The record is from RNAcentral.
AUACAAACUACCUCUGCAAAACAUAAAUCAACCUUCAAUACUCCCAUUAACAUGAAUAUUAGGCUAAAUAAAAUUACAACUCCAGUGGGAUUUCAAGGGCACUGUAUACUAUUUUUAAAUAUUUGCAGAUAUGGAAACUUAAAAUGAUAAUCUGUUCAGUAGGCUAAAUUGCAAAGCACAAAGAAACAACAACCACUAAGUAUUCUAAAUGGACACUAAGAAAAAUGAAAAACAUGCAAUGUUGUAGCGACGGAUGAGCAAAUUUGACACAGCAAUCCAAAAACUAAUAUGCCUCAAUCAGCAACAUUUUAGUAACCCAACAUGAUCAUUGUGAAGUCCAUCCUAAUUGCCAUAAAAGUUUCAGUAUUUCACUCCUGCCAUUCAUGCUACAAACAUAUACUAGUUAAGAACCUGAAAUAAUUUGUA